GACGGAGGGUGCUAGCGUUGUUCGGAAUCACUGGGCGUAAAGGGCGCGUAGGCGGCCUGGCAAGUCGGCUUUGUGAAAGCCCGGGGCUCAACCCCGGAGGUGCGGCCGAGACUGCGAGGCUGGAGGCCGGAAGAGGAGGGUGGAAUACCCAGUGUAGAGGUGAAAUUCGUAGAUAUUGGGGGGAACACCGGUGGCGAAAGCGGCUCUCUGGUCCGGACCUGACGCUGAGGCGCGAAAGAGUGGGGAGCAAACAGG
Molecule: ribosomal RNA, 255 nt
Filed under: uncultured bacterium
Lineage: Bacteria
Description: partial 16S ribosomal RNA
Rfam family: Bacterial small subunit ribosomal RNA
Source: RNAcentral